CGCUCCAUAGAUGCUGCUGCACCCGCUGAGUUUCUCCAGCUUUUUUGUGUACCUUCGAUUUUCCAGCAUCUACAGUUCCUUCUUAAACAUAGUAGAAGACGGACAGGUGGAGUGUCCUGUUACUGUGCUGUGAACUAUAAUUUCAUUAAUAUGUGUCUUUCAGGAAUUACGUGAGGAAUACAAGGUCACUGCUUUACCAGCAUUCAUCUUUAUCAAGGACGGAAACGAGGUAGCCAGUGUUGUUGGAGCAAAUGCGGAUGACGUUGAGAAACUAAUCCAGCAACAUAGAGGGAUGCAACAGCAGCAAUGCUCUGGUCAUGCCCCGCAAUAAAUACUUUCAGCACCUGCCCCUGCUGUGAAAUGGCUGGAACAAUAUGAACGCUAUUAAUGCACUAUGUGAUCCAUGAUGUAAAAUAAUAAAAGUACUGCACACAA
This is a long non-coding RNA of Leucoraja erinaceus (little skate), 435 nucleotides long. RefSeq lists it as uncharacterized. The record is from RefSeq and is a predicted model, not a curated record. The transcript is spliced from 2 exons. NCBI's taxonomy places the organism in Eukaryota, Metazoa, Chordata, Chondrichthyes, Rajiformes, Rajidae.